CCUACGGUGGGCAGCAGUCGAGAAUCAUUCACAAUGGGGGAAACCCUGAUGGUGCGACGCCGCGUGGGGGAAUGAAGGUCUUCGGAUUGUAAACCCCUGUCAUGUGGGAGCAAAUUAAAAAGAUAGUACCACAAGAGGAAGAGACGGCUAACUCUGUGACAGCAGCCGCGGUAAUACAGAGGUCUCAAGCGUUGUUCGGAAUAACUGGGCGUAAAGCGUGCGUAGGCUGUUUCGUAAGUCGUGUGUGAAAGGCGCGGGCUCAACCCGCGGACGGCACAUGAUACUGCGAGACUAGAGUAAUGGAGGGGGAACCGGAAUUCUCGGUGUAGCAGUGAAAUGCGUAGAUAUCGAGAGGAACACUCGUGGCGAAGGCGGGUUCCUGGACAUUAACUGACGCUGAGGCACGAAGGCCAGGGGAGCGAAAGGGAUUAGAUACCCGGGUAGUC
RNAcentral lists this ribosomal RNA (446 nucleotides) under uncultured bacterium. RNAcentral describes it as "partial 16S ribosomal RNA". It matches the Rfam family "Bacterial small subunit ribosomal RNA", at positions 338 to 795 of the family's 1533-position model. The record is from RNAcentral.